This 402-nucleotide ribosomal RNA is filed under the name uncultured prokaryote. RNAcentral's name for it is "bacterial SSU rRNA". It matches the Rfam family "Bacterial small subunit ribosomal RNA", at positions 355 to 774 of the family's 1533-position model. The record is from RNAcentral.
UAGGGAAUAUUAGAAAUGGACGAAAGUCUGAUCUAGCAACACCGCGUGUGCGAAGAAGGCCUUCGGGUUGUAAAGCACUUUUUGGAAGGAUUAGGAAGGAAUGUACUUCCAGAAUAAGUCUCGGCUAACUACGUGCCAGCAGCCGCGGUAACACGUAGGAGGCAAACGUUAUCCGGAUUUACUGGGCGUAAAGCGCGUGUAGGUGGUUCUGUAAGUAGGGCGUGAAAGCUCCUGGCUCAACUGGGAGAGGCCGUUCUAAACUACAGAACUAGAGGAUGGUAGAGGGAGGUGGAAUUCCAGGUGUAGCGGUGGAAUGCGCAGGUAUCUGGAGGAACACCAGUUGCGAAGGGGGCCUUCUGGACCAUUCCUGACACUCAGACGCGAAAGCUAGUGUAGCAAACG